GUCCCACCAGUAUUACUCUUCACUUUACCCUUUCUGCAGUCUUCUGGACUUCUCUGUUCUUCUUUCCUCACACAAGUUGCUCUCUUGAUUCACUGCAUUCAGGAUGCUCGUCCUAACCUGAAGCCACCCCCGCACCUGGUGCUUUGACGGGGUGACCAUCGACGGCGAUUGAGGGUUAGCAGGGCCCAAGGAUCUACUACACCAGAGUCUAGGCAAGAUCAUCGAUCUGGACGCUGCCGUUGAUGCUGUCGUCCGUGUCGUUGAUUUGGUCUUGGAUUUCAUCUCCCGCAGGCCUGCAACGGCAACAUUGUUCCAAAUUGAGCUGCAGGUGAUAUCAUAUUUGUGACAUGAAGAGUAAGAGAGCCACAUGUCAAUCUUAAGGAGGUGUUUUUUGGGAAUGUUUAUAUGUUCCAAUCAUGCCAUGUAUCUUCAUCUCCAGUUGGAUGGAGCUGCUGGUAUUACGACAGGAACCCACCAUAGCAUCUGAGAGAUAUCCUAUGGCCACUGGAGGAAGAUAAUUCUGAAGUUGAUCUCGAAGUUUGGGUCGCCGGAGGAAGAUGAUGUGCGAGGAAGAUCAUGUAGAAGUUGUAACCUAAAAUCUCGAGGACAACGAACCUAUGAGGUCGUGGGGAAGGUCUUAUAUGGAUGGUUAAGUUUCUCAUGUUUGCACGAUGGAAAAAAAUUGGAUUCCAUGUGGACACAUAUUCUGUUUGGAGAGAUAUGAUAUUUUCGAUUUCGUUAGGCA
Molecule: long non-coding RNA, 745 nt
Organism: Triticum aestivum (bread wheat)
Lineage: Eukaryota; Viridiplantae; Streptophyta; Magnoliopsida; Poales; Poaceae
Exons: 5
Source: RefSeq, a predicted model, not a curated record